RNAcentral lists this ribosomal RNA (253 nucleotides) under uncultured bacterium. RNAcentral describes it as "partial 16S ribosomal RNA". It matches the Rfam family "Bacterial small subunit ribosomal RNA", at positions 524 to 776 of the family's 1533-position model. The record is from RNAcentral.
UACGGGGGGGGCAAGCGUUGUUCGGAAUUACUGGGCGUAAAGGGCUCGUAGGUGGCCAACUAAGUCAGACGUGAAAUCCCUCGGCUUAACCGGGGAACUGCGUCUGAUACUGGAUGGCUUGAGUAUGGGAGAGGAUGAGGGAAUUCCUGGUGUAGCGGUGAAAUGCGUAGAUAUCAGGAGGAACACCGGUGGCGAAAGCGCUCAUCUGGCCCAAUACUGACGCUGAAGCACGAAAGCUAGGGGAGCAAACGGG